UACGUAGGGUGCGAGCGUUAAUCGGAAUUACUGGGCGUAAAGCGUGCGCAGGCGGUUUUGUAAGACAGACGUGAAAUCCCCGGGCUUAACCUGGGAACUGCGUUUGUGACUGCAAGACUAGAGUGUAGCAGAGGGGGGUAGAAUUCCACGUGUAGCAGUGAAAUGCGUAGAUAUGUGGAGGAAUACCGAUGGCGAAGGCAGCCCCCUGGGCUAACACUGACGCUCAUGCACGAAAGCGUGGGGAGCAAACAGG
This 253-nucleotide ribosomal RNA is filed under the name uncultured organism. RNAcentral describes it as "partial 16S ribosomal RNA". It matches the Rfam family "Bacterial small subunit ribosomal RNA", at positions 524 to 776 of the family's 1533-position model. The record is from RNAcentral.